AGUGAACGCUGGCGGUAGGCCUAACACAUGCAAGUCGAACGGCAGCACAGUAAGAGCUUGCUCUUACGGGUGGCGAGUGGCGGACGGGUGAGGAAUACAUCGGAAUCUACUUUUUCGUGGGGGAUAACGUAGGGAAACUUACGCUAAUGCCGCAUACGACCUACGGGUGAAAGCAGGGGAUCUUCGGACCUUGCGCGAUUGAAUGAGCCGAUGUCGGAUUAGCUAGUUGGCGGGGUAAAGGCCCACAAAGGCGACGAUCCGUAGCUGGUCUGAGAGGAUGAUCAGCCACACUGGAACUGAGACACGGUCCAGACUCCUACGGGAGGCAGCAGUGGGGAAUAUUGGACAAUGGGCGCAAGCCUGAUCCAGCCAUACCGCGUGGGUGAAGAAGGCCUUCGGGUUGUAAAGCCCUUUUGUUGGGAAAGAAAAGCAGCAGGUUAAUACCCCGCUGUUCUGACGGUACCCAAAGAAUAAGCACCGGCUAACUUCGUG
This 492-nucleotide ribosomal RNA is filed under the name uncultured bacterium. RNAcentral's name for it is "partial 16S ribosomal RNA". It matches the Rfam family "Bacterial small subunit ribosomal RNA", at positions 29 to 507 of the family's 1533-position model. The record is from RNAcentral.